CCUACGGGAGGCUGCAGUGAGGAAUAUUGGUCAAUGGACGAGAGUCUGAACCAGCCAAGUAGCGUGAAGGAUGACUGCCCUAUGGGUUGUAAACUUCUUUUAUAAAGGAAUAAAACGAGGCACGUGUGCCUUUUUGCAUGUACUUUAUGAAUAAGGAUCGGCUAACUCCGUGCCCGCAGCCGCGGUAAUACGGAGGCUCCGAGCGUUAUCCGGAUUUAUUGGGUUUAAAGGGAGCGUAGAUGGGUUGUUAAGUCAGUUGUGAAAGUUUGCGGCUCAACCGUAAAAUUGCAAUUGAUACUGGCAGUCUUGAGUACAGUUGAGGAAGGCGGAAUUCGUGGUGUAGCGGUGAAAUGCUUAGAUAUCACGAAGAACCCCGAUUGCGAAGGCAGCUUACUAAACUGUGACUGACAUUGAUGCUCGAAAGUGUGGGUAUCAAACAGGAUUAGAUACCCGUGUAGUC
This 460-nucleotide ribosomal RNA is filed under the name uncultured bacterium. Its description in RNAcentral is "partial 16S ribosomal RNA". It matches the Rfam family "Bacterial small subunit ribosomal RNA", at positions 338 to 795 of the family's 1533-position model. The record is from RNAcentral.